AUCGAAGCAGUUUCCUGUAAAGGAAGAGGGAAACUAUGUUCUCGGGGAUCCGAAGAACGGGAGAACCAAACACACGUCGGCGAACAAGGUACUAGUACGCACAGAACAAGAGAUGGUCGAUUUGAUCGCGAAAGGCUUCUCGGUCCGGGUGGAGACGAAGACACGCCCGUCGCUCGUCAGGUUGAAUUUGUUCGUUGAUGGUAAGAAAGUCACUUGAUCGCACCGGACUUUGGACCGUCCUGUCGCUACAGGAGGACCUGGAAGCAGGGGGGUAGAGGGGGGAAGCUCCGCUAGCUGUUCAUUUGAUGGGGCUCUCACAUUUUUUGGCUAGAAAAUUUCCGGUAAGCCGUUACCCAUGGUUGCCGGAGCAGGUGAUAAAGCUCUGCAGGGAGUGAUCGUGACGGAAGGUAUGCUCGGAGCAGUCGCAGGUGUUGCAGCUGUUGUAGUAACCGUUUUGCAAUGGAUGUUCGCCGUUCGUAGUGGGCGCCGCCAACGAGACGUAGAGAUGACUGCAUGGGGUUCCGACGUCAUAGAGACCAUGGCUGCCAUAGAAACCGCGUGUCUUCCUAUUUCAACUGACGCCAAGUACACCCGGCAUGAGGUCGAAUUGCUUGGCGAACGGGCCAGCGCCCUCUUGGAUCGAGGCCGGUUGUUUUUUCCGAACGUGCGGACCGGGCGAAGCCAUCAGAACGACGAAGGUACUAGAGCGGUAUGUAUUU
This 719-nucleotide small RNA is filed under the name Sinorhizobium meliloti 2011. Its description in RNAcentral is "putative ncRNA". Lineage: Bacteria; Pseudomonadati; Pseudomonadota; Alphaproteobacteria; Hyphomicrobiales; Rhizobiaceae. The record is from RNAcentral.